GAGUUUGAUCCUGGCUCAGGAUGAACGCUAGCGGCAGGCUUAAUACAUGCAAGUCGAGGGGCAGCAUGGGUAGCAAUACCUGAUGGCGACCGGCAAACGGGUGCGGAACAUGUACGCAACCUUCCCAGAAUUGGGUGAAUAGCCUUUCGAAAGAGAGAUUAAUACACCGUAACAUAAAUGAAGUGGCAUCACUUUAUUAUUAUAGCUCCGGCGAUUCUGGAUGGGCGUGCACCUGAUUAGGUAGUUGGCGGGGUAACGGCCCACCAAGCCUACGAUCAGUAACUGGUGUGGGAGCACGACCAGUCACACGGGCACUGAGACACGGGCCCGACUCCUACGGAGGCAGCAGUAAGGAAUAUUGGUC
This 364-nucleotide ribosomal RNA is filed under the name uncultured Sphingobacterium sp. RNAcentral describes it as "bacterial SSU rRNA". It matches the Rfam family "Bacterial small subunit ribosomal RNA", at positions 9 to 369 of the family's 1533-position model. Lineage: Bacteria; Pseudomonadati; Bacteroidota; Sphingobacteriia; Sphingobacteriales; Sphingobacteriaceae. The record is from RNAcentral.